This 253-nucleotide ribosomal RNA is filed under the name uncultured bacterium. Its description in RNAcentral is "partial 16S ribosomal RNA". It matches the Rfam family "Bacterial small subunit ribosomal RNA", at positions 524 to 776 of the family's 1533-position model. The record is from RNAcentral.
UACGUAGGGGGCCAGCGUUGUCCGGACUUACUGGGCGUAAAGCGCGCGCAGGCGGACCUGUAUGUGCCGUGUGAAAGCGCCGGACUUACUUCGGCGAGGUCAUGGUAGACAGCAGGUCUGGAGCCUCGGAGAGGUCGGUGGAAUUCCGGGUGGAGCGGUGAAAUGCGUAGAGAUCCGGAGGAACAUCAGUGGCGAAAGCGACUUCCUGGACCAAUACUGACGCUCAUGUGCGAAAGCGUGGGGAGCAAACAGG